UCGAAAAUUUUCUGAAUAUUUUUGGUCACGGGGUUUUUAUUUUUUGGCCCACCCUAAUCUGGAAAACUUUGAACGUAUUAACCAAAACACCUUUUAUAAUAAGAAAGAGCUUCCAGUCUAAAGAUGCUGGCUUAUCCCACUAAAAAUCUAUUUCAUCUUAAGAAUGCUGCAAGAAUGAGCAUCUACAUGCAGACAGAUGAAAAACGGGGACCGCAGUCGAAUAUUGUUGGAGAGCAUGAAUUUAGUGAAGUCUGGUGGAGCCUAAGAUUUCAUUCCUGUCCUAAUUCCCCUCCAUCAGCUGACACCCUGCCUGUAUGCAGCUAUCUGGCACUCAUAGAUCUCUGCAGCCGGAAGUUUUAUGGAAACCGCCAGGACUAAUAAUCACGUAUAUUUAUCUGCAACACAGCCACCUAGAGCUGCCAUUCUAGACCUAACAGCCUGAAAGUUGAGUCCAGUGAAAAGCACAGGCCUCUCUCUCACUGUGCUUUUCAAGGCUGCCCUGCAGCGGUUGCCUAGUCAAGCCCUGUGUCUGAUCGGGCAGAGGUAGAGAAAAGGAGACAAUAGGAGCUCUCCACAGGCCCUCUUUCAAACCUC
Molecule: non-coding RNA, 594 nt
Organism: Thamnophis sirtalis
Lineage: Eukaryota; Metazoa; Chordata; Lepidosauria; Squamata; Natricidae
Source: RefSeq, a predicted model, not a curated record